This 620-nucleotide ribosomal RNA is filed under the name uncultured bacterium. RNAcentral's name for it is "bacterial SSU rRNA". The stretch from base 1 to 519 matches the Rfam family "Bacterial small subunit ribosomal RNA", at positions 338 to 873 of the family's 1533-position model. The record is from RNAcentral.
CCUACGGGAGGCAGCAGUGGGGAAUCUUGCGCAAUGGGCGAAAGCCUGACGCAGCCAUGCCGCGUGAAUGAUGAAGGUCUUAGGAUUGUAAAAUUCUUUCACCGGGGACGAUAAUGACGGUACCCGGAGAAGAAGCCCCGGCUAACUUCGUGCCAGCAGCCGCGGUAAUACGAAGGGGGCUAGCGUUGCUCGGAAUUACUGGGCGUAAAGGGAGCGUAGGCGGAUAGUUUAGUCAGAGGUGAAAGCCCAGGGCUCAACCUUGGAAUUGCCUUUGAUACUGGCUAUCUUGAGUACGGAAGAGGUAUGUGGAACUCCGAGUGUAGAGGUGAAAUUCGUAGAUAUUCGGAAGAACACCAGUGGCGAAGGCGACAUACUGGUCCGUUACUGACGCUGAGGCUCGAAAGCGUGGGGAGCAAACAGGAUUAGAUACCCUGGUAGUCCACGCUGUAAACGAUGAGUGCUAGUUGUCGGCAUGCAUGCAUGUCGGUGGACGCAGCUAACGACAUUAAGUACACCUCCGCCGUGGGGAGGUACGGUCGGCGAAGAAUUAAACUUAACUAAAUUAGAAGUUAGUUACGGCGUGAGACGUUGCCGACGGACGACGACGAGGGGAGGUUAGG